This 379-nucleotide non-coding RNA is filed under the name Salmo salar (Atlantic salmon). RNAcentral describes it as "Eukaryotic large subunit ribosomal RNA". It matches the Rfam family "Eukaryotic large subunit ribosomal RNA", at positions 1514 to 1864 of the family's 3401-position model. Lineage: Eukaryota; Metazoa; Chordata; Actinopteri; Salmoniformes; Salmonidae. The record is from Rfam by way of RNAcentral.
GGCCUAUACGUUGCACACCCGUUAGUUUGUCCAUUUUAAUCUCACAAGAUUUUACAUAAUUUUUUCAAACUUUCUAAUUUGUGACCUACUGACCUCAAACUACUUUCAGAAUGUCCACGGACUGGUGGAGACGGGCGCCGUGAGGCGUCCAGUGCGGUGACACUACCGAUCCCGGAGAAGCUGGCGGAAGUCCCGGGGAGAGUUCUCUUUUCUUUGUGAAGGGAAGGGCACCCUGGAAUGGGUUCGCCCCAAGAGAGGGGCCCUAGCCCUGGAAAGCGUUGCGGUUCUGGUGGCGUCCGGUGAGCUUUCGCUGGCCCUUGAAAAUCUGGGGGAGAGGGUGUAAAUCUCGCGCCGGGCCGUACCAAUAUCCGCAGCAGGU